This 408-nucleotide ribosomal RNA is filed under the name uncultured bacterium. RNAcentral describes it as "partial 16S ribosomal RNA". It matches the Rfam family "Bacterial small subunit ribosomal RNA", at positions 28 to 526 of the family's 1533-position model. The record is from RNAcentral.
GACGAACGCUGGCGGCGUGCUUAACACAUGCAAGUCGAACGAAGUGGCGAACGGGUGAGUAAUACGUGCGUACCCUGCCCUCCUUUUUGGGUUAAGCCUUGGAAACGUGGUCUAAUACCGUAUUAAGGGGGAUGGGCUCGCGGCCUAUCAGCUUGUUGGUGGGGUGAUGGCCUACCCAGGCGGUGACGGGUAGCCGGACUGAGAGGGGGAACUGCAACAUUGAGACUGAGAAACGGCCCAGGCGACGACGGGGGGGAGCAGUGGGGGAAAUUGCACAAAGGGCGAAAGCCUGACGCAGCGAGGGCGAGGGAGGGAUGAGGGCUUUCAGGUUGUAAACCUCGUGCGCAAUCGAACGGGUAGGUAGAGAAGAAGCGCCGGCUAACUACGUGCCAGCAGCCGCGGUAAUAC